This 358-nucleotide long non-coding RNA is filed under the name Eucalyptus grandis. RNAcentral's name for it is "long non-coding RNA (EGRA_LNC007636)". Lineage: Eukaryota; Viridiplantae; Streptophyta; Magnoliopsida; Myrtales; Myrtaceae. The record is from RNAcentral.
UUCAGCAGAAAUUUCCUGAUAUUUUUAAACAGUGUCAACUAUCAACAAGGAAAAGAAAAAGGGAUCGAAGACGAGCUAACAAUUAUUUCCAUUACAUAGGUUCUCAUUGUUUCAAGGGCAGAAGAUGAUAUUUCAGGAUCUGGAACUGGUUUCAUGUGGGUUCAUUGCUUUACCACAACCAAUCCAAGUUCCCAGUUGCCUUUGACUGGUUCAGCUUUAGUGAGCUUACAGAGACAAUACGUGCAGCUAAAUGGGAAAGUUUUCCAAGGAGUCACGGGGAUAAAGACUUUAUAAUUUAUUUAACAUUAGAUACACUAGAGCUGUAACAACUAUCUUCAACCAGAAGGUUGAGUUCCAU